Molecule: long non-coding RNA, 218 nt
Filed under: Glycine max (soybean)
Lineage: Eukaryota; Viridiplantae; Streptophyta; Magnoliopsida; Fabales; Fabaceae
Description: long non-coding RNA (GMAX_LNC001140)
Source: RNAcentral
CUCAGCGUCGCCGUUUCCAUCUUCCGCCACAGGGAUUUGAGCGUGGCGGAGAGGUCGAGGUGUGGCGCGACUUCCCUCGGCUCGUGGAUGUGGACGGCGACAGUAGUGAAGUUUCAACUCUUCGCGAAAAUUGCAGAAAAUUUUAUGUGCAACAGAAACACAAUUCGUCGCAUAAAUUACUCAACGGAAUUGAGUUUGCGCUUCCAAAGGGUGAUGAC